Carica papaya (papaya) is the source of this 1548-nucleotide long non-coding RNA. RefSeq lists it as uncharacterized. NCBI's taxonomy places the organism in Eukaryota, Viridiplantae, Streptophyta, Magnoliopsida, Brassicales, Caricaceae. The record is from RefSeq and is a predicted model, not a curated record.
ACAUAUGGCCCAUGAGCACGAAGAAGAAGACGAAGAGUAAUUCGAUGGGCCGUGGGUUCUCGUCUUCUUGAAUCUUAUUUUUCAAUUGCACAACCAACCUUCGCCUUUUACCAUAAUUACGAAAUUACCCUUUCUUGACACUUCCUCUUUCUUCUUCAUUUAAUUUUCUCUUUCUAAACGGGAUUUACAAAUUAUCCGGUUUGCCGGAAUCGAAGCCGUAUUUUGAAGCGAUGAAGAAGGAGUCCACAGGAAACUCGGUAGUUUAAAAGACGCUUAAGUUUAGCAAAGUAACCCUGUGGAUUCUUCUCGAAAUCCUCCCUGACAAUUCGAAUUUCCCCUCCCGUACCCGGAGCUACCAUUGUCGCAGGCGAGCUAGCAUCAUUGCCCUUCUCAUUCUCGUGCAGUUGGGCAAAAUAAGCCUGUGGAUUCUUCUCGAAAUCCUCCCUGACAAUUCUAACUUCACCUCCGGUACCCGGAGCAACCAUUGUCUCAGGAGAGCUACCAUCAACGCCCUUUUUGACUCCUUUGCUGUCCAUCUUCAAGAUAUGUUGUUCUGCUUUCUGAUAUUAGAAAAGGUUAAAAUGAAGAAUUGAAAAUAGUCUAAUGGUGAAGAUUUGCGGGGAUGUUGUUAGUUAUUUAUAGGUGGGAUUCAAAUAGGGUAACGUAAUAUCUUCUCGUAAAUGAGGUGAAGUCUUGCAUGGAUUAAGACGGAGAUUAUUGACUAAUUAAUUUUAUAUGGUGGUUUUUCAAGACUAAUUGCUCGAGGAACAAUGAGAUAACAUGAGUAAAUUUAUCUUCUCUUGAAUGUAUUAUCUUGUUUAAUUUCACAAUUAAUGUAGCUCGAGAAGGAAGGCGAAGCAAGGAGAGAAGCGAGCAGAAGAGACGAGCUACAUGAUUAAUCCGGUGGGUCCGAAUAAGAGAUUACAGAAAACAAGGGUUUUCUUGAUGGUGAUUAAAGAGGAGAGAAGCAAGAAUGGACUAGAAAGCUGACGCCCAACAAUGUAGAAGCUGAGGGGGGAGAACGGUGGACGAACGAACAAGGUUUGGCAUGAACAUUAACAGCAGCACCAACAACAUUAUCACUUCUUGUUUGCUUUCUCAUUCUCGCGCUGCUGAGCAAAAUAAGCCCCUGGAUUCUUCUCGAAAUCCUCCCUGACAAUUCGAACUUCACCUCCAGCCCCCGGAGCGACCAUUGUUGCAGGCGAGCUGCCAGUUCCAGGAUUUGAGUUGUGGGCACCUCCACCGCCCUUUUGGCCACCUCCUCCUUUGCUGUCCAUCUUCAAGAUAUGCUGUUUUGCUUUCAGAUAUUUGAAAGGGCUAGAAAGAAGAAUUGAAAAUAGUCUAGUGGUGAUGAUUUACAGUGCUGUAGUUGGUUAUUUAUAGGUGGGAUUCAAAGUAGGGUAUGAUAUAAUAUCUUCUCGUAAAGGAGGUGAAGUCAUGCAUGGAUUAAAACGGAGGUUAUUGACUAAUUAAUUGUAUAUGGUGGUUUUCAAGACUAGUUACUCGAGGAACAAUGAGAUUAUAUGGAUAAAUUUAUCUUCUCGUGAA